UGGUGGGUAGUUUGACUGGGGCGGUCUCCUCCUAAAGAGUAACGGAGGAGCACGAAGGUUGGCUAAUCCUGGUCGGACAUCAGGAGGUUAGUGCAAUGGCAUAAGCCAGCUUGACUGCGAGCGUGACGGCGCGAGCAGGUGCGAAAGCAGGUCAUAGUGAUCCGGUGGUUCUGAAUGGAAGGGCCAUCGCUCAACGGAUAAAAGGUACUCCGGGGAUAACAGGCUGAUACCGCCCAAGAGUUCAUAUCGACGGCGGUGUUUGGCACCUCGAUGUCGGCUCAUCACAUCCUGGGGCUGAAGUAGGUCCCAAGGGUAUGGCUGUUCGCCAUUUAAAGUGGUACGCGAGCUGGGUUUAGAACGUCGUGAGACAGUUCGGUCCCUAUCUGCCGUGGGCGCUG
This 398-nucleotide ribosomal RNA is filed under the name Escherichia coli. RNAcentral's name for it is "partial 23S ribosomal RNA". It matches the Rfam family "Bacterial large subunit ribosomal RNA", at positions 2259 to 2656 of the family's 2925-position model. The record is from RNAcentral. Lineage: Bacteria; Pseudomonadati; Pseudomonadota; Gammaproteobacteria; Enterobacterales; Enterobacteriaceae. RNAcentral also lists the same sequence under 3 other names.